GACGAACGCUGGCGGCGUGCCUAAUACAUGCAAGUAGAACGCUGAAGGAGGAGCUUGCUUCUCUGGAUGAGUUGCGAACGGGUGAGUAACGCGUAGGUAACCUGCCUGGUAGCGGGGGAUAACUAUUGGAAACGAUAGCUAAUACCGCAUAAGAGUAGAUGUUGCAUGACAUUUGCUUAAAAGGUGCAAUUGCAUCACUACCAGAUGGACCUGCGUUGUAUUAGCUAGUUGGUGAGGUAACGGCUCACCAAGGCGACGAUACAUAGCCGACCUGAGAGGGGAACGGCCACACUGGGACUGAGACACGGCCCAGACUCCUACGGGAGGCAGCAGUAGGGAAUCUUCGGCAAUGGACGGAAGUCUGACCGAGCAACGCCGCGUGAGUGAAGAAGGUUUUCGGAUCGUAAAGCUCUGUUGUAAGAGAAGAACGAGUGUGAGAGUGGAAAGUUCACACUGUGACGGUAUCUUACCAGAAAGGGACGGCUAACUACGUG
RNAcentral lists this ribosomal RNA (494 nucleotides) under uncultured bacterium. Its description in RNAcentral is "partial 16S ribosomal RNA". It matches the Rfam family "Bacterial small subunit ribosomal RNA", at positions 28 to 507 of the family's 1533-position model. The record is from RNAcentral.